CAAAAUUAUUAUGGUAGAUGAAACUGCACCUUAAGGACAACCAUGGCCGAGGCAGCCUCAAGGAUUGAUUUAGAUGCACGAAUUCAUAAUAAUUAAUCAAUUAGAAAUCAAAAACACAUAAGAACAUGCUAUUGCCCUAAAACCUAAAUCACGAAAUCAUCAUAUAUUCAAGAAGUUACAAAUCAAAACAUAGAACAAUCAAAGAUCACAAAGAAAUCCGAAAACCAUGUUUGAUAAAUAAAACCAAAAUCGAAAAGUAUAUUACAAUAGAGUUUGAAACUAUACAGAAAAUAAUACAAGAAGCCAUGAGAAAAUCACACUUUUACAACCUUGAAAGAUUCGGCAAGUGUGGGGAAAAUCGGUGGAAGGAUGGAAUAAUUCUUUUGGUUUGUGGUGGAUGAAUCGGCUAAGUAAUUUUCUGUAUAGGGUUUGGUAGAGUUUCGGCUAUGUAAUUGCAAGAGUAGAGAUGAUGUUUUUCUGUUCUUGAAGUUGUGCUUUAUAUAGAGGAAAAACCCUAGAGAAGUCGGCCACAAAGUUGAAACCAAGUUGGUUUAGGUUUCCCUAGUUUUUCUUAAUUCGGCAGAAUGACCUCCAUCUGAUGAUUACGUCAUAACUCCCUCUAGAAAAUAUAUAUAUUGAGGUGAUUCCAAUUGAUUUGGAAACUAGACUCCCGUAGCUCUCUAUCCAUAUCUAGCACGUUUUCUGAUUCAUUGUGAGCUGUCCUGGAAAGUCCGUUGAAGUUGACAGACGUGCACAGGAAUUCUCCCGAUUUAAUCCGGAUUUUCAAGACUUGGAUAUUCCUUGAUAUUCUGCCGAAUUUAGAUCUUCUUCUCCAUAUUGGACUUGGUUUGGACCUCUCCUUCAUGGACUAGGCUUCGUGGAUCAGCUGCUUUGCUUCCCUAGGUCCAUCAGGAACACUUCUCUCGGCAAUGAUUCAAGCAUAACUUCAAUUCUCCUGAUUCUUUCUCCCAUAACUCUUCUACAUAUCACCUAAGUAUCAGAGAAGUUAAAU
This 1012-nucleotide long non-coding RNA is filed under the name Fragaria vesca (wild strawberry). Its description in RNAcentral is "long non-coding RNA (FVES_LNC004139)". Lineage: Eukaryota; Viridiplantae; Streptophyta; Magnoliopsida; Rosales; Rosaceae. The record is from RNAcentral.